GUGCUCACUUUAGCACAGAUACUAAAAUUGGAAUGAUAUAGAGAAGAUUAACAUGGCCUCUGCACAAGGAUGACACGCAAAUUCAUGAAGUGUUCCACAUGGAU
This 104-nucleotide small nuclear RNA is filed under the name Salvator merianae (Argentine black and white tegu). Lineage: Eukaryota; Metazoa; Chordata; Lepidosauria; Squamata; Teiidae. The record is from RNAcentral.